RNAcentral lists this ribosomal RNA (425 nucleotides) under uncultured bacterium. Its description in RNAcentral is "partial 16S ribosomal RNA". It matches the Rfam family "Bacterial small subunit ribosomal RNA", at positions 354 to 796 of the family's 1533-position model. The record is from RNAcentral.
GUGGGGAAUCUUGCGCAAUGGGCGAAAGCCUGACGCAGCCAUGCCGCGUGAAUGAUGAAGGUCUUAGGAUUGUAAAAUUCUUUCACCGGGGACGAUAAUGACGGUACCCGGAGAAGAAGCUCCGGCUAACUUCGUGCCAGCAGCCGCGGUAAUACGAAGGGGGCUAGCGUUGCUCGGAAUUACUGGGCGUAAAGGGCGCGUAGGCGGACCGCUUAGUCAGAGGUGAAAGCCCAGGGCUCAACCUUGGAAUUGCCUUUGAUACUGGCUGUCUUGAGUUUGGGAGAGGUGAGUGGAACUCCGAGUGUAGAGGUGAAAUUCGUAGAUAUUCGGAAGAACACCAGUGGCGAAGGUGACUCACUGGCCCAAUACUGACGCUGAGGCGCGAAAGCGUGGGGAGCAAACAGGAUUAGAAACCCGAGUAGUCC